This 253-nucleotide ribosomal RNA is filed under the name uncultured bacterium. RNAcentral describes it as "partial 16S ribosomal RNA". It matches the Rfam family "Bacterial small subunit ribosomal RNA", at positions 524 to 776 of the family's 1533-position model. The record is from RNAcentral.
GACGGAGGGGGCUAGCGUUGUUCGGAUUGACUGGGCGUAAAGGGCGCGUAGGCCGUUUAUCAAGUCAGGCGUGAAAGCCUCGGGCUUAACCCGAGAACUGCGCUUGAUACUGGUAGACUAGAGUGCGAGAGAGGAAAGUGGAAUUCCUAGUGUAGAGGUGAAAUUCGUAGAUAUUAGGAGGAACACCAGAGGCGAAGGCGGCUUUCUGGCUCGCAACUGACGCUGAGGCGCGAAAGCGUGGGGAGCAAACAGG